UGAGCAGCUGCUCCCAGUUAGCCUCAGCUAGCUCCCAGCUAGCUUUGUAAAGGAAUGCACUUUGGUAGAUUCAACCAAAUGCCCUGGGUGUUAGUCACAACAAUGACAACAGUAAUAAUUAUAAUAAUAAUAAUAAUAAUAAAGAGAACUGAGCAGUCUGAGGUACCAACAU
Etheostoma spectabile (orangethroat darter) is the source of this 172-nucleotide long non-coding RNA. RefSeq lists it as uncharacterized. The transcript has 3 exons. NCBI's taxonomy places the organism in Eukaryota, Metazoa, Chordata, Actinopteri, Perciformes, Percidae. The record is from RefSeq and is a predicted model, not a curated record.